This is a non-coding RNA of Acanthosepion pharaonis, 111 nucleotides long. NCBI's taxonomy places the organism in Eukaryota, Metazoa, Mollusca, Cephalopoda, Sepiida, Sepiidae. The record is from the annotation of a GenBank genome assembly.
ACAGCCACAUCACAGUGAAACAGCAGUUCCCGUACGUUCACCAAAGUUAAGCAACAUCGAGCCUGGUCAGUACCUAGCUAGGUGACCGUUUGUGAAUACCAGGUGCUGUAA